GACGAACGCUGGCGGCGUGCUUAACACAUGCAAGUCGAACGGGCCUUGUCCCCUUUUUUUUUGGGGGUGGGGUUAGUGGCGAACGGGUGAGUAACACGUGAGUAACCUGCCCCUCACUUCUGGAUAACCGCUUGAAAGGGUGGCUAAUACGGGGUGUUCUGGCCUGCUCGCAUGGGUGGGUUUGGAAAGAUUCGACCGGUUUGGUUGUUUUGGUGGGGGAUGGGCUCGCGGCCUAUCAGCUUGUUGGUGGGGUGAUGGCCUGCCAAGGCUUUGACGGGUAGCCGGCCUGAGAGGGUGGGCGGUCACACUGGGACUGAGACACGGCCCAGACUCCUACGGGAGGCAGCAGUGGGGAAUAUUGCACGAUGGGCGCAAGCCUGAUGCAGCGACGCCGCGUGAGGGAUGGAGGCCUUCGGGUUGUGAACCUCUUUCGCCAGUGAAGAAGGUCCUGCUCUUUGUGGUGGGGUUGACGGUAGCUGGGUUAAUGAAGCGCCGGCUAACUACGUG
This 507-nucleotide ribosomal RNA is filed under the name uncultured bacterium. Its description in RNAcentral is "partial 16S ribosomal RNA". It matches the Rfam family "Bacterial small subunit ribosomal RNA", at positions 28 to 507 of the family's 1533-position model. The record is from RNAcentral.